CGGCGCGGCAGGGGGCGCGGUUACCCGUGGUUUUUCGCGUUGGACGACGGGCUCUGAGGGCCAAGUUCUUGUCACGAAUUUAGUUUGUUUCAGAGCGGCAGGACUCGUAGCUAGAGAACGAGGACCCACGACGCGUACGCGUUACAGUCCUGUUUCCCUAGAAACGGAGCUGCCGGCGCGGAGGUGGCUUUGAGAUUCUGCGAAAGACCUGACUGCUCUUCAACAAUUAUUGUGUUGCACCCUCCCAGGCGCCCAGUCCAAACCCCGUCAGAAUAACCACCCGGGACAGCGGUGGUCGAAGUAACUACGCCUAACUUUUCGCUUUCCAUCGUGUCCCCUCCAUAAAAACACUGCUGGGCCCCCGGAAUCCAAAGGCGAAGGAGGCACACUCCCUGCCUUAGACUUGUUGAGAGUUUUAUAGGGGCAGUGCAUAACGUACAUGAUGGUGUAUGACGAUUCGGAUGGUAGUACGAGUCAUAAACUCAAAUUCCAACAGCAUCCAGCCAGGACUUUUAAAAUUCCUUGCAACGCAAGUCUACUGGUGACAAAUUCCCUCAAAUUUUGUUUGCCUGAGAAAGUCUUUCGCCCUCACUGUUGAAGGAUAAUUUCACUGGAUACAGAAUUCUAGAUGGAGUCUUACUCUGUCGGCUCACUGCAACCUCCACCUCCGGAGUUAAAUUGAUUCUCCUGCCUCAGCCUCCCGAGUAGUUGGGAUUACAGGUGACUGACACCAUGCCUGGCUAAUCUUUGUAUUUUUAGUAGAGACAGAGUUUUGCCAUAUUGGCCAGGCUGGUCUUGAAUUGCUGACCUUGGGAUCUCCCCGCCUCGGCCUCCCAAAGUGCCAGGAUUACAGGCCUGAGCCACUGCACCCAGCCAAUAUUUUAUUUUUUCUUGCUAUGGAGUCUCACUCUAUCACCCAGGUGGGAGUGCAGUGGCGUGAUCUUGGCUCACUGCAACCUUUGCCUCCUGGGCUCAAAUGAUCCUCUAUCCUCAGCCUCCUGAGUAGCUGGGACUACAGGCGUAUGCCGUCAUGUUUGGCUAACUGGCUAACACCACCUCUAUCUGGUUCCAAAACAUUUUCACCACUCUAAAAGGAAAUCCCAUACUUGCUAAGCCAUCAAUUCCCAUUCUCCCCUCUCUCUGCCCCUGCUAACCACAAAUAUGCUUUCUGUCUCUGUGGGUUUACCUGUUAUGGAUAUUUCAUGUAGAUGGAUCCAUAUGAUAUGUGACCUUUUUUGUCUUUCUUCUUUCUCUUAACACAAUGUUUUGAGAGUCAUCCAUAUUGUAGCAUGUUUCAGUAACUUUCUUCCUUUUUAUGGCUGAAUAAUAUUCCAUGAUAUGUCUAUAUUACAAUCUGUUUAUCCAUUCUUCUAUUGAUAAGACAUCUGGCUGUUUCCACUUUUUUGCUAUUGUGAAUAGUGCUGCUGUGAACUUGUGUGUACACCAAACUCUUUUUAAUAUCUAGUCAAAUAUGGCUCAAAUAUAGUUUAUGGCCAGAAUGCUUAUAAAUACUUUUGGAAGCAGUUAACUAUCUUCCUGAGCUGGAUUCAAUCAAGACCACUACACUGUUGUCUAAUCUCUGACUUUGUUUAUGUCUUUGUUUCUAGUUUUACUACUCAAUAAAUUGAGAAAGUAUAUAGAGUAUCUCCUAAUCCUUGCUGUGUUCCUGUAACCAUAUAAGUAUAAAACUAAAAUCUGACAAAGUCUUUAUAGUCAAUGUCACAUUCAGUCACUUAAGGAACCAUUAACAUCAGAAAGAGAAAAGACCGUGUUUUACAAAAUGUUUCCAACUGAUCAAUUACUUACUGGGAAGAAAAGUAGGGUGAAAGUGCCAGGCUAUUCAGAUCAGUUAGGGUAACAAAGAUGUAAAUAUUUUUCUUCUUUGAAUUGCAAUGGUGGGGAUCAUUUCUCUUCUUCAGUAUGUA
Molecule: long non-coding RNA, 1925 nt
Filed under: Homo sapiens (human)
Lineage: Eukaryota; Metazoa; Chordata; Mammalia; Primates; Hominidae
Description: HSALNT0306580
Source: RNAcentral